This is a long non-coding RNA of Homo sapiens (human), 1165 nucleotides long. RefSeq lists it as uncharacterized. NCBI's taxonomy places the organism in Eukaryota, Metazoa, Chordata, Mammalia, Primates, Hominidae. The record is from RefSeq and is a predicted model, not a curated record. The transcript has 2 exons.
GGUAGGACGCUAACUUGUAAAGGUUACUGUGAUGGUAAAUUUUAGGUGUCAACUUGGCUAGGACACAGUGCCUCUUUGUUUGGUCAAACACUAAUGUAGGUGUUGCUGUGAAGGUAUUCUGUAGAUGUCAGUAAAGGAGAUUACCCCGGAUAAUGUGGUGGGCCUCAUCCAAUCAGUUGAAGGUCACAGGAGCAAAAACUGAAGUUUCCCAGAGAAGAAAUUCUGCCUCAGGAUGGCAGCACCAUCUCCCGCCUGGGUUUCUAGCCUGCUGGCCUGUAGAUUCCAGACUUGCCAGCCCCCACAGCUCAGUGAGAGGGGAUCUAAUACCUGGGGAUAAAUCUCCUCUGUGAGAGUGAAUCGAGGCAGAAUCAAGAGAAGCAAGUGAGACCCGCUGUGAGUGGGUACCUCACAUCCCACACAUCUACCUCCACCUAUGAGGAGCCACAGGACCUGCCUGCCUGCCUGGCCGCUCUCCGCAAGCGCACAGAGCCUUUCUGUGCUUAGGCCACACGUGCCCAGCAUAUGGUGCAAAUAACCAUUUAUCGAGUGCACUGAACUGAGGCCUCAAGGCAAGCUUACCGCUGUGCAGGGUUAAUGACAAACCCAAGGUGGGCAGCCUGGAGCUAGCCACAGUCCAAGCCAAAAGCUCCAGUGACAUCUGCUCUGUGUCCAAAAGGUAGAAGGAAAGGAAAGAACACAGUGUACCAACUUAUCUCAAAUAAAAUAAUUACUUAUUACCAACAUCAAGUAUGAAAUGUGAAGCUAUUCUGUGCCAGUUACAGAAAAGCUAUAUUACUAUGUACAUUACAGAAUAAAUUACUAAGUUUUGACUAGAGUAUAAAAUUUAUUUGUCUUAAUUUCUAGUAAGUUUUAUUUGUUGAAAUAUAGACUCAUAACAUUCAAGACAGUGCUGGGUGUCGACUUCUGAACACAGCACACACUGGAUAGUGUAUGACACGCUGUGCAACACAACAGGGCAAAAAAUUGGAAACCUGCUUUUCUGCAGUAACUUUUCAUUUGCCCUAGACAAGGAACAUUGCACGGCUUAUUUUGACAAUGAUGCUCUUGUAUUCAUUGAAUAAGUCAUCUAAUCUGUAAGAAUCUACGUUUUAUUCCCAUGUGACUUAAUAAAGCAUUUUCAUUAUGAAUAAAAAUGUGAACUGCA